UCGGUGGUUGAUGGCGGCGGGGAAACGCCCGGUCCCAUUCCGAACCCGGAAGCUAAGCCCGCCCGCGCCGAUGGUACUGC
This 80-nucleotide ribosomal RNA is filed under the name Corynebacterium afermentans. The record is from RNAcentral. Lineage: Bacteria; Bacillati; Actinomycetota; Actinomycetes; Mycobacteriales; Corynebacteriaceae.